This 472-nucleotide ribosomal RNA is filed under the name uncultured bacterium. RNAcentral's name for it is "bacterial SSU rRNA". It matches the Rfam family "Bacterial small subunit ribosomal RNA", at positions 355 to 825 of the family's 1533-position model. The record is from RNAcentral.
UGGGGAAUAUUGGACAAUGGGCGAAAGCCUGAUCCAGCCAUGCCGCGUGUGUGAAGAAGGUCUUCGGAUUGUAAAGCACUUUAAGUUGGGAGGAAGGGCAUUUACCUAAUACGUAAGUGUUUUGACGUUACCGACAGAAUAAGCACCGGCUAACUCUGUGCCAGCAGCCGCGGUAAUACAGAGGGUGCAAGCGUUAAUCGGAAUUACUGGGCGUAAAGCGCGCGUAGGUGGUUUGUUAAGUUGGAUGUGAAAUCCCCGGGCUCAACCCGGGAACUGCAUUCAAAACUGACAAGCUAGAGUAUGGUAGAGGGUGGUGGAAUUUCCUGUGUAGCGGUGAAAUGCGUAGAUAUAGGAAGGAACACCAGUGGCGAAGGCGACCACCUGGACUGAUACUGACACUGAGGUGCGAAAGCGUGGGGAGCAAACAGGAUUAGAUACCCCCGUAGUCCCUGAGCGGGCUGGCAAGGCGCAU